Molecule: ribosomal RNA, 1667 nt
Filed under: human gut metagenome
Description: bacterial LSU rRNA
Rfam family: Bacterial large subunit ribosomal RNA
Source: RNAcentral
GUUCUCUCCGAAAUAGCUUUAGGGCUAGCCUCGGAAUUAGGAUCGUGGAGGUAGAGCCACUGUUUGGACUAGGGGCCCGUCAUGGGUUACCGAAUUCAGAUAAACUCCGAAUGCCAUCGAUUUAUGUCCGGGAGUCAGACGGUGAGUGAUAAGAUCCAUCGUCGAAAGGGGAACAGCCCAGACCACCAGUUAAGGUCCCUAAAUAUAUGUUAAGUGGAAAAGGAUGUGGAGUUGCAUAGACAACUAGGAUGUUGGCUCAGAAGCAGCCACCAUUUAAAGAGUGCGUAAUAGCUCACUAGUCGAGUGAUCCUGCGCCGAAAAUGUACCGGGGCUUAAACAUAUUACCGAGACUGUGGAUGCCACCAUUAGGUGGCGUGAUAGGAGAGCGUUCUAAGGGCGACGAAGGCAGACCGUGAGGACUGUUGGAGCGCUUAGAAGUGAGAAUGCCGGUAUGAGUAGCGAAAGAUAGGUGAGAAUCCUAUCCACCGUAUGACUAAGGUUUCCUGGGGAAGGCUCGUCCUCCCAGGGUUAGUCGGGACCUAAGGCGAGGCCGAGAGGCGUAGUCGAUGGACAACAGGUAGAGAUUCCUGUACUUACGGUAUGAAUGAUGGAGUGACGGAGAAGGCUAGCGGAUCCUGCUGAUGGAAAUGCAGGUGCAAGCGAGGUAGCCGACAGCCAGGCAAAUCCGGCUGUCGAAAGGCAAAGGCGUGAGGCGUAUGGAAAGCUGCGGCAAGUACAGAAGUCCGUGAAGCCAGCUUCCAAGAAAAGCUUCUAGUGAUAAUCAUACAGUAACCCGUACCGAAAAUGGACACACAUGGGUGAGGAGAGAAUCCUAAGGUGAGCGAGAGAACUAUAGCUAAGGAACUCUGCAAAAUGACUCCGUAACUUAGGGAUAAGGAGUGCUCAUAGAGAUAUGAGCCGCAGUGAAACGGCCCAAGCGACUGUUUACCAAAAACACAGCUCUAUGCUAAGUCGAAAGACGACGUAUAUGGGGUGACGCCUGCCCGGUGCUGGAAGGUUAAGAGGAUGUGUCAGCGCAAGCGAAGCAUUGAAUUGAAGCCCCAGUAAACGGCGGCCGUAACUAUAACGGUCCUAAGGUAGCGAAAUUCCUUGUCAGGUAAGUUCUGACCCGCACGAAAGGCGUAACGAUUUGGGCGCUGUCUCAGCUGUAGACUCGGUGAAGUCUUAGUACCUGUGAAGAUGCAGGUUACCCGCGACUAGACGGAAAGACCCCAUGGAGCUUUACUGUAGCUUGAUAUUGGACUUUGAUGCAAGAUGUACAGGAUAGGUAGGAGACUGAGAGACAUGCACGCCAGUGUGUGAGGAGUCAAUGUUGGGAUACUACUCUUCUUGUAUUGGAGUUCUAACCGGAUGCCAUGGAACUGGCAACGGGACAGUGUCAGGUGGGCAGUUUGACUGGGGCGGUCGCCUCCCAAAGAGUAACGGAGGCGCCCAAAGAUACCCUCAGCUUGGAUGGAAAUCAAGCGCAGAGUGCAAAGGCAUAAGGGUGUUUGACUGCGAGACCUACAAGUCGAGCAGGGACGAAAGUCGGGCUUAGUGAUCCGGCGGUGCUGAAUGGAAAGGCCGUCGCUCAACGGAUAAAAGCUACCCUGGGGAUAACAGGCUGAUCUCCCCCAAGAGUCCACAUCGACGGGGAGGUUUGGCAC